CCCUGACUAGCUCAGUUGUAAGGGCAUGAGACCCCUAAUCUCAGGUUAGUGGGUUCGUGUCCCACGUCGGGCA
Molecule: transfer RNA, 73 nt
Filed under: Lepisosteus oculatus (spotted gar)
Lineage: Eukaryota; Metazoa; Chordata; Actinopteri; Semionotiformes; Lepisosteidae
Rfam family: tRNA
About the family: Transfer RNA (tRNA) molecules are approximately 80 nucleotides in length. Their secondary structure includes four short double-helical elements and three loops (D, anti-codon, and T loops).
Source: Rfam by way of RNAcentral